CAGAAAAGUGAAGAAGUGUAGAAAAUUGACAGACAAACAUGAUUAAAUUUGAAGAUUUUUAUAUAUAAAAGUAAUUUUAAAUCAAUAAAAAAGGUGUGAAUAUGGAUUCCGUUGUGUUAUGGGAGGAAAACACAAAAAAUGUACGAGUUGAGCGGAAAAUUAUUAGAGACAAGUCUAAUGUGAUCAGUCUUAGUCAAAAAGGAAGGUUUAAAUGAUAAAGGGUAAUGUGAUUCUUUAAAUUUGUUUGUACUUCUACUCGUAAAUAGUUUCAUGCAAAACUUUCGCUUAAGCAAGGAAUCAUUCAAAUAUGUGUUGGAUAGCAUAAGUAGUGAGCUAAAAACCCCACGCAGGUCCACAGGAAUACCCGAAAUUGUGAAAUUAGCGGCAACUUUAAAAUUUUUUUUCGCAGGGAAGGUAUCAAACGCAAAUUGGACAAGAUCUCCAUACAGGCCUAGCUCAACAAACUGUUUCGCGUUGUGUGUUUGAAGUUUGUAAAGCAAUUGAGAAAGUGCUGUGUCCAAAACACAUAACUUUUGCAAUGUCUUCAGAGGAGAAAAAAUGAAGAGAAACCAGUUUUUUACUCAGUGUCUUUAAUUCCAGGAGUAAUUGGAGUGGUGGAUGGUACUCACAUCCAAAUGAUAGCAUUUAUAUUUCAAUAGGAAAUUAAAGCAUAGUAUAAUCGCUUUGGUGAUAUGUGAUCAUAAUAUGAUGAUAAAAGCCGUUAACCGUCGGUUUACUGGGGCGUGUCAUGAUUCACAUGUGUGGAAUUUGUCAAGCGAGCGCCAAUAUUUACAAACCAACUAUAUGAAUGGAGAAAUAGGAAUUCGCAUUCUUGCGACUCUGGAUAUCCGCUUGAGCUAUGGAUUUUAACUCCAUACAGAAAUGCUGCUGAAAACUCUGCUGAAAAUUACUACAACUACAAAUUUUCAAAAGCCAGAUCCCUUAUCGAUCGAGUAUUUGGAGUGUUAAGAGCACGGUUCCGAUGCCUUUUAGCUGCUAGAGAACUACAUUAUGCCCCAGAAAAAGUGGUGCAAAUUUAGAACGUAUGUUGUGCUCUUCAUAAUAUUUGCACUCUUUUUAAUGUAGAAUCACCUGCAAAUAUAGCAAUAGAAGUUGAAGAAGUCGAUGCUAGUUAUACUGAAACAAUAGGAAAUGCGAAUGAAACCAAUAUUGCUAAACGUUGUAGAGAUCAAAUAAAAAACAGCAUGAUUACUUUAUAAACAUGUAACACUAUUUAAUAAAGUAGACUUUU
Molecule: long non-coding RNA, 1252 nt
Organism: Bactrocera latifrons
Lineage: Eukaryota; Metazoa; Arthropoda; Insecta; Diptera; Tephritidae
Exons: 3
Source: RefSeq, a predicted model, not a curated record